GACGAGAAGCUUGCUUCUCUGAUGUUAGCGGCGGACGGGUGAGUAACACGUGGAUAACCUACCUAUAAGACUGGGAUAACUUCGGGAAACCGGAGCUAAUACCGGAUGAUAUUUUGAACCGCAUGGUUCAAAAGUGAAAGACGGUCUUGCUGUCACUUAUAGAUGGAUCCGCGCUGCAUUAGCUAGUUGGUAAGGUAACGGCUUACCAAGGCAACGAUGCAUAGCCGACCUGAGAGGGUGAUCGGCCACACUGGAACUGAGACACGGUCCAGACUCCUACGGGAGGCAGCAGUAGGGAAUCUUCCGCAAUGGGCGAAAGCCUGACGGAGCAACGCCGCGUGAGUGAUGAAGGUCUUCGGAUCGUAAAACUCUGUUAUUAGGGAAGAACAUAUGUGUAAGUAACUGUGCACAUCUUGACGGUACCUAAUCAGAAAGCCACGGCUAACUACGUGCCAGCAGCCGCGGUAAUACGUGGGUGGCAAGCGUUAUCCGGAAUUAUUGGGCGUAAAGCGCGCGUAGGCGGUUUUUUAAGUCUGAUGUGAAAGCCCACGGCUCAACCGUGGAGGGUCAUUGGAAACUGGAAAACUUGAGUGCAGAAGAGGAAAGUGGAAUUCCAUGUGUAGCGGUGAAAUGCGCAGAGAUAUGGAGGAACACCAGUGGCGAAGGCGACUUUCUGGUC
Molecule: ribosomal RNA, 679 nt
Filed under: uncultured Staphylococcus sp.
Lineage: Bacteria; Bacillati; Bacillota; Bacilli; Caryophanales; Staphylococcaceae
Description: bacterial SSU rRNA
Rfam family: Bacterial small subunit ribosomal RNA
Source: RNAcentral